This is a long non-coding RNA of Lepidothrix coronata (blue-crowned manakin), 2216 nucleotides long. RefSeq lists it as uncharacterized. NCBI's taxonomy places the organism in Eukaryota, Metazoa, Chordata, Aves, Passeriformes, Pipridae. The transcript has 4 exons. The record is from RefSeq and is a predicted model, not a curated record.
AUGAUGACCUUGACCCUGCAGGUCUUUUCUCCUGCGUCCCAGUACGAAUUGUCAAUAUUGAAUGACAUAAAGUCUGAUUUCAGGGCUGUUGUGCCCACUGCUGCCUUGCUGUUUUCAAGAUGCAUUUUGCCUACCAGCUUUCUGUUGCUUUAUGGAGAAAACUGACCCUGCAGACACGUAUAUGGGUGUGGUCUCUAACACUGCAUUCCAUCUUUGAGCCAUUCUGCAAUGACACAUGUGACUGUUCAUUUAACAGGUUCAAUACAGGAGAUGAGCAUCAUUUCAGCAAGAAAACAUGAACUGCUGGUGUCACCAAACAGUUUUCAACCAUGCAGUUUCUGCUGUGGCAGAUUGCCAGGAUAAAGUGACCCAAAAAGUGGAUGGGAGCUUAGACCCCCUGCACAAAUGGCAAUCACCAGUGGGAUCCAGACUGCAUUCUCCCAGGAAUUUAGGAUGCAGGGUCCCCAGGUGAUGGUAGCUGAGUCUUCUCUUGAGUGAAGCCUUGUAGUAAUCCCUGAAGACUUGGUUUCAGCUUCUCUUAUUCUCGAUUUGAGUGCUUUCACAUCUGUGCUGAUUAUAAGAUUAUAAAGUCCUUAUUCUGGGAAGAUUAAAGAGAAAUAAAAACUAAUAGGAAAAAAAAAAAGAAAGAAAACCUUUACAAAGGAACAACACACCAGAAACAGCAAUAGAGGAACACUGGUGAGGGGAAAUCGUUUUUUUUUUUUGAAGAAAAGGAUAAUGGCAUCUGGGGAAUGGGUUUACCACAAAAACUCACUCCCUCUGAACAUUUCUUAAACCAGCUGUGUGUCUUUUUUGUACUGUCUCCACUUUGAACAGAGACAGGCAAGAGUAAGAGGUUAAGUUACUUCCUUCAGCACCAGCCCAGAGAUUCUCUGAGUUGUGUUGGUCUCAGCUCCUGGAGCACUCUGUUUUCUCAGGGAAGGUAUGACAUUACUGCCAAGACACAGGUGGCUUAUGUCUUGGUGCUGGAUUUUUUUCUUUUAUCACAAAUCCUGCAGAGGUGGUGUUGAAAAGCUUAUGCAGGUCCAAAAUGUUUAGUGACAGUACUAAGGGCUCAGAGCCAGCAACAAGUGUGACCUUUCAGUGCAGGCACCUGGAACUGGCACCAUGAAUGACAAUGGAAGAAAAAAAUUCUUCAAAGAGCAGGAGCUCGUUUAAUUUCCCUUUACAUUCACUGGACUGAUGAACACAAUUAACAGCUGCUUCACUGAGAGGAGUUUUCACUCAGUUAUUUCUUUCAUCUCAGACUUUGACCCAUUCAAUAACUGUUUUUACAUGCUGACUUUCACAUCAUUGACUGUUCUUCCCAACCCUGCAUAGUAGCAACAAAGGGAUUACAGUAAAGUCAUUGAUUUUUACUCUUUCCUUGCUGCAUGCUUACUUUUUUAAUAAGUGCAGUAAUUUCCCCUGACAUGCUGAGAUGUGUUCUACAUCUUUCAUAGGACAAUGUAUGUAUCUGAUCAAAUACAUCAGCCAGGUAAGCCAGCUGACACAUCUACUGCUGUUCAGAAAAUAGAUUCUGCAUUGAGUUAACUACCAGAAAAGCAAAUCUCCAUUAUUUCAAAGAGCAGUAAGAUUGCCCUCGAUACUCAUUUCCUAUCAGUGUGGGACAGAUAAAGCGUUGAAGUGGAAGUCAGAAAUCUAUUGAAUGGCUCAUUGACUUGGGACAAUUUGGAAUGGUUUGUCCUUGUGCUUCUUGACUGUGUGUCUACUUCUGUACCAUAAUAACUCUGUGGAGGAGAAACCAUUUCUGUGCUUGUUUGUACAACCUCUGUUUUGCUUGGAGUCUCCAGGUAAUUUGAAAUAUGUCUCACUAUAAACAAAACUGUGAAACAUUGCAGCUCCCACCUGUUUUGUUCCAAAUUUCACAGGAGUAAAUAACUUUGCCUUACAGCAAAUGCAGUCCCGUGGUUUGGAUUAAAAUGAUAUGCAAUUCCAGUUGUCAUACCCUGAGGCCUCAAAACCUAUUUCCUUGGGUACUGCUUCUUUAAGCCUUCUAAAGCAAAAAAAAUGCUUCGUUUUUUUUUCAGAGCUCAAAGUCGACAAAUGCGAAUGUGAAUUAGUCCAGUCCAAAUAAGCAGACUAAACGUGGUAAUAUUAAGGUGGGUAAAUAGCUGGUGUAGUGGAUAAAGUUGAUGGAGUAACGUUGGUGAGCAGAGAAUUCACUUAAACAGUAACCAGAGUAAUGAAAGCUU